Molecule: transfer RNA, 82 nt
Filed under: Microbacterium phage PauloDiaboli
Lineage: Duplodnaviria; Heunggongvirae; Uroviricota; Caudoviricetes
Also listed under: 2 other names
Description: tRNA-Leu
Rfam family: tRNA
About the family: Transfer RNA (tRNA) molecules are approximately 80 nucleotides in length.
Source: RNAcentral
GGCUCUGUGGCGCAAUGGUUGACGCGCUGGUUUUAGGUACCAGUUUCUUCGGAUGUGUGGGUUCGAAUCCCAUCAGAGCUAC